Long non-coding RNA from Megalops cyprinoides (Indo-Pacific tarpon), 1181 nucleotides. RefSeq lists it as uncharacterized. The record is from RefSeq and is a predicted model, not a curated record. The transcript has 4 exons. NCBI's taxonomy places the organism in Eukaryota, Metazoa, Chordata, Actinopteri, Elopiformes, Megalopidae.
AAAUCCAAUUUACGUGCUGCAGCGGUACACUUUAGAGUUGGGCGGUACAUUUAGCACCUGUCGAGUGCAAGCAAAAGUACGCAGUUAUAAAUAUACAGCACUGCUCGUAUCUGUCCGAGUAAAGCCAGACCUGAGUCCAGCGAGGAUGAAAGUUUUAAUACUGCUCUGCCUGGUGAGCGUUGCCAUGGCUCAGUGGGGCCCUGGAGCAAGGAUACCACUGAGAGACAAGGUUCAGAACAAGGUUCCAAAGGUUGGCCAAGAUGCAGCACCCGGUGGCACAGCUCCCCACACUGAGGAAAGGAGUGAGACAGUGAAAUUCAGGGAGCCUUCACCAGCAUAAAGACCACCUCAAAGGAUGCAUACAGCAUCUUUGCUUUGGACCAGCACAGAAGACAAAUACAUGCCUGAUAACCUGGUCUUCCAGAAUUAAUCCAGACAUGUUAAGCCCUCAUGCAUUGCAUAGCGCAAAUAUUAUUAUUGGUAUAUGCCUGCUGCUAUGAUAUUAAUAAGAUGAAUGAAUCAUGCCCUAAGAUUUUAAGGCCUAACAAGUGCCCUUGCUUUGUGUAGAAGAAAUGAAUUUUUAUGCUAACACAAAUACAAAUUGCAGUACAAAUUUUUUCUCUUAGUGUUUUUUCAGUGUAAAGCCUCACACUGGAACAAUCACUUUGGAGUGAAUGAUUUCUGGUGUAUUUCUAGAAAUACAAUAUAAUGUAAUUGGACUUCAUUACCUUUACAGAAACAGAGCUAUACAUUAUCUUUUUAGGCAUUCUCUGGCAUAAGUACCAAAUGUUCAAGUAAUGCUAUUACGCUCAGAAAAUGCAUCUUACUAUAUUUAAACUGAGUCUAACAAUCCUAUAGCACCAGGAUGAACUAGUUAGCUGACUGAAUCCUUUCUAAAAACUACAGGUACAUAGAAUUAAAAAUGAUGCAGUCUUAUUUGAAUAUUCCAGUGUCUAGCAAUGUCAAGCCUAGUCUAUGGGUGGUAACUUUUUCACUGUUCUGGCACAAUUUCUAGAUCCAGAUAGUUUGAUCAGCUAUUACAUCAAAUUCUUUUCCAUACUGACACUCUAAUUUAUUACCUCUCAACAUAAUCCUAUUUUACAUUGUUAUUGCCCACAUGAAGAACUGCAGCUUGGUGUUGAGUUUCAAUAAUCAGGUGAUUACCCAGUUCUGGCAUUAAU